This 215-nucleotide small RNA is filed under the name Bos taurus (domestic cattle). Lineage: Eukaryota; Metazoa; Chordata; Mammalia; Artiodactyla; Bovidae. The record is from RNAcentral.
GUAUAAAUGAUAGCCCUAGCGGUAAAGGUCUCUCCUGACAAUGCAAAAGAUGUAAGAGAGACCUUUACCGCUAGGGCUAUCAUUUAUACACAACCAAACAAACUAUAAUAUGCUGCUGAUGAAAUGUGAUCUGGUAUCAGAAAUGGUCAAAUGUAAACUGUAGAAUGUCCCUUAAUGUCAAUGAAACGUGUUAACAGCAUGGAAGCUAUCAACAA